GGCCCCGUAGCUCAGCUGGAUAGAGNNCCCCCUCCUAAGGGGAAGGUCGCCCGUUCGAAUCGGGCCGGGGUCACCA
This 76-nucleotide transfer RNA is filed under the name Stenotrophomonas maltophilia. RNAcentral's name for it is "tRNA-Arg". It matches the Rfam family "tRNA". Rfam says of the family: Transfer RNA (tRNA) molecules are approximately 80 nucleotides in length. Their secondary structure includes four short double-helical elements and three loops (D, anti-codon, and T loops). Lineage: Bacteria; Pseudomonadati; Pseudomonadota; Gammaproteobacteria; Lysobacterales; Lysobacteraceae. The record is from RNAcentral.